This 66-nucleotide transfer RNA is filed under the name Curtos costipennis. RNAcentral describes it as "tRNA-Asn". The record is from RNAcentral. Lineage: Eukaryota; Metazoa; Arthropoda; Insecta; Coleoptera; Lampyridae.
UUAAAUGAAACCAAAAAUAGAGGUAUAUUACUGUUAAUAAUAUAAUUGAAUAAUAUUCCAUUUAAA